This 320-nucleotide small RNA is filed under the name Pelobates cultripes (western spadefoot toad). Lineage: Eukaryota; Metazoa; Chordata; Amphibia; Anura; Pelobatidae. The record is from RNAcentral.
GUGACUGGUGACAGAGUGAGGGAGUGGGUGACUAGUGACAGAGGGAGGGAGAUAGGGGUGACUAGUGACAGAGUGAGGGAAUGGGUGACUAGUGGCAGAGUGAGGGAGGGAAGAGAUGACUAGUGGCAAAGUGAGGGAGGGAAGGGGUGACUAGUGACAGAGUGAGGGGGGGUGACUGUCACUAGUCACCCCAUCCCUCUCUCUGUCACUAGUCACUCCCUCCCUAACUCUGUCACUGUGUCACCCGCUCCCUCACUCUCACUGUCACUCCCUCUCUCUGUCACUAGUCACCCCAUCCCUCUCUCUGUCACUAGUGUCAC